This 251-nucleotide ribosomal RNA is filed under the name uncultured bacterium. Its description in RNAcentral is "partial 16S ribosomal RNA". It matches the Rfam family "Bacterial small subunit ribosomal RNA", at positions 524 to 776 of the family's 1533-position model. The record is from RNAcentral.
UACGUAGGGUGUGCGUUAAUCGGAAUUACUGGGCGUAAAGCGUGCGCAGGCGGUUCUCCACGUCCGUUGUGAAAGCCCCGGGCUCAACCUGGGAAUGGCAGUGGAAACUAGGGGACUGGAAUCUGGCAGAGGGGGGUGGAAUGCCGCGUGUAGCAGUGAAAUGCGUAGAGAUGCGGCGGAACACCGAUGGCGAAGGCAGCCCCCUGGGCUGAGAUUGACGCUCAGGCACGAAAGCGUGGGGAGCAAACAGG